Molecule: ribosomal RNA, 650 nt
Filed under: uncultured marine bacterium
Lineage: Bacteria
Description: bacterial SSU rRNA
Rfam family: Bacterial small subunit ribosomal RNA
Source: RNAcentral
GCUCCCCGCUGACGAGCGGCGGACGGGUGAGUAAUGCAUAGGAAACUGCCCAGUAGUGGGGGAUAGCCCGGGGAAACCCGGAUUAAUACCGCAUACGCCCUUUGGGGGAAAGCAGGGGAUCUUCGGACCUUGCGCUAUUGGAUGUGCCUAUGUCGGAUUAGCUAGUUGGUGGGGUAAGAGCCUACCAAGGCGACGAUCCGUAGCUGGUCUGAGAGGAUGAUCAGCCACAUCGGGACUGAGACACGGCCCGAACUCCUACGGGAGGCAGCAGUGGGGAAUAUUGGACAAUGGGGGUAACCCUGAUCCAGCCAUGCCGCGUGUGUGAAGAAGGCUUUCGGGUUGUAAAGCACUUUCAGUGAGGAGGAAAACCUGACGACUAAUACUCGUGAGGCUUGACGUUACUCACAGAAGAAGCACCGGCUAACUCCGUGCCAGCAGCCGCGGUAAUACGGAGGGUGCAAGCGUUAAUCGGAAUUACUGGGCGUAAAGCGCGCGUAGGUGGUUUGAUAAGCGAGAUGUGAAAGCCCCGGGCUCAACCUGGGAACGGCAUUUCGAACUGUCAGGCUAGAGUAUGGUAGAGGAGUGUGGAAUUUCCUGUGUAGCGGUGAAAUGCGUAGAUAUAGGAAGGAACACCAGUGGCGAAGGCGGCA